AUACAUGCAAGUCGAGCGAACGGACGAGAAGCUUGCUUCUCUGAUGUUCGCGGCGGAGGGGUGAGUAACACGUGGAUCACCUACCUAUAACACUGGGAUAACUUCGGGAAACCGGAGCUAACACCGGAGAAGUUUUGAACCGCGGGGUUCACAAGUGAAGGACGGUCUUGCUGUCAUUUAUAGAUGGAUCCCCGCUGCAUUAGCUGGUUGGUAAGGUAACGGCUUACCAGGGCAACAAUCCAAACCCAACCUGAGGGGGUGAUCGGCCACACGGGAACUGAAACACGGUCCAAACCCCAACGGGGGGCAGCAUUGGGGAAUCUCCCGCAUGGGGCAAAGGCCUGACGGACCACCGCCCCGGGAGUGAUGAAGGUCUUCGGAUCGUAAAACUCUUUUAUUAGGGAAAAACAUAUCUGUUAGUAACUGUGCACAUCUUGACGGUACCUAAUCAGAAAGCCACGGCUAACUACGUGCCAGCAGCCGCGGUAAUACAUAUGUGGCAAGCGUUAUCCGGAAUUAUUGGGCGUAAAGCGCGCGUAGGCGGUUUUUUAAGUCUGAUGUGAAAGCCCACGGCUCAACCGUGGAGGGUCAUUGGAAACUGGAAAACUUGAGUGCAGAAGAGGAAAGUGGAAUUCCAUGUGUAGCGGUGAAAUGCGCAGAGAUGUGGAGGAACACCAGUGGCGAACGCGACUUUCUGGUCUGUAACUGACGCUUAUGUGCGAAAGCGUGGGGAUCAAACAGGAUUAGAUACCCUGGUAGUCCACGCCAUACACGAUGAGUGCUAAGUGUUAGGGGGUUUCCGCCCCUUAGUGCUGCAGCUACGCAUAGCACUCCCCCCGGGGAGUACGACCGCAGGUUGAAACUCAAGGAUUGACGGGACCCGCACAAGCGUGGAGCAUGUGGUUUAUUCGAGCACGCGAGACUUACCAAUCUGACUCCUCUGACACUCUAGAGAUGAGCUUCCCUUCGGGGACAAGUGACGGUGUGCAUGUUGUCGUCAGCUCGUGUCGUGAGAUGUGGGUUAAGUCCCGCAACGA
RNAcentral lists this ribosomal RNA (1037 nucleotides) under Staphylococcus aureus. Its description in RNAcentral is "bacterial SSU rRNA". It matches the Rfam family "Bacterial small subunit ribosomal RNA", at positions 51 to 1095 of the family's 1533-position model. The record is from RNAcentral. Lineage: Bacteria; Bacillati; Bacillota; Bacilli; Caryophanales; Staphylococcaceae.